RNAcentral lists this ribosomal RNA (482 nucleotides) under uncultured bacterium. RNAcentral's name for it is "bacterial SSU rRNA". It matches the Rfam family "Bacterial small subunit ribosomal RNA", at positions 28 to 505 of the family's 1533-position model. The record is from RNAcentral.
GAUGAACGCUAGCGGCAGGCUUAACACAUGCAAGUCGAGGGGCAACACGGGUAGCAAUACCUGGUGGCGACCGGCGCAAGGGUGCGUAACGCGUGAGCAACAUGCCCUAUACAGGGGGAUAAUCCAGGGAAACUUGGUCUAAUAUCCCAUAGUAUUUAGAGGUGGCAUCACCACUAAAUUAAAGCUUCGGUGGUAUAGGAUUGGCUCGCGUGACAUUAGCUGGAUGGUGGGGUAACGGCUCACCAUGGCGAUGAUGUCUAGGGGUUCUGAGAGGAAGACCCCCCACACUGGGACUGAGACACGGCCCAGACUCCUACAGGAGGCAGCAGUGAGGAAUAUUGGACAAUGGAUGGAAAUCUGAUCCAGCCAUGCCGCGUGCAGGGAAGACGGCCCUAUGGGUUGUAAACUGCUUUUAUAUGGGAGCAAUAAGGUUUACCGUAGACCGAUGAGAGUACCAUAUGAAUAAGCAUCGGCUAACUCCG